AUUAUCUGUGCUGAAAGUUGCAUCGGCACUCCCAUCUUUACAAACCCUACAAUAGAGACUUCUGCCGUUUUUGCUCAGCAGAACAUGGAUGUGAUCAUCAAGCAGGAACUUGUGCUACUAGUGAACUUUUGGCUGUGGACCUCAGGUGUGACUGCUGGCAGUGAUGUCGACCAGCCGGCCAUGCUGUGGAGAAACCAGGGUGACAACGCAACCAUCAGCUGCAAACAGUCCAAGGGUGCUGGCUACUACCAGAUGUACUGGUACCGACAGCUGCCUGGGGAAAUGAUGAAACAAGUAGUUUACACUAUGGCAAACUCCAAACCUGACUUCGAGCCUGAAUUCAAACUGGGUGAAAAGUUCUCAGUCGCUAAGCCUGAUGCUGAGAGCGGGACGUUCACCGUGCAUAAACUGGUGCCAGGAGAUCAAGGCCUGUAUUUCUGUGCCGUCAGUGAGCACAGUGAUACGAACGAGCUGAGAGGCUGAACAAAAACCUCUGAGCUGUUGGCACACGGAUAACGUUUCACCUCGUGUAUCGUCGGGGGAGGAUGACAGAUACCACAAAUACUCAACUCCUGUUUUAUUCAUCACUUUGAAGUCCAUGUGUAACCGUUUAUCCCCCUCCUGCAGGUGGGGAAUACUUGUCUGUUGUUUCAAAACACAAACACUGCGAAAUAUGACUGAACGUAACUUCUUGAUGUCAGUUAUAAUCUAAACCAGGAGUCUGCAACUGUUAUGUUUCCAAAGGCUUUUCGAUUAUAAGCCCUCAGUCCAGCUAAAUGAAAGCUAUUUGGAGC
Molecule: non-coding RNA, 794 nt
Organism: Xiphophorus hellerii (green swordtail)
Lineage: Eukaryota; Metazoa; Chordata; Actinopteri; Cyprinodontiformes; Poeciliidae
Source: the annotation of a RefSeq genome assembly